GAUGAACGCUGGCGGCGUGCCUAACACAUGCAAGUCGAACGAAGCACUUAUACGGAUUCCUUCGGGAAGAAGUAUUUGUGACUGAGUGGCGGACGGGUGAGUAACGCGUGGGCAACCUGCCCUAUACCGGGGGACAACAGCUGGAAACGGCUGCUAAUACCGCAUAAGCGCACAGAGUCGCAUGGCUCGGUGUGAAAAACUCCGGUGGUAUAGGAUGGACCCGCGUCCGAUUAGCUAGUUGGUAGUGUAAUGGACUACCAAGGCGACGAUCGGUAGCCGGCCUGAGAGGGCGGACGGCCACAUUGGGACUGAGACACGGCCCAGACUCCUGCGGGAGGCAGCAGUGGGGGAUAUUGCACAAUGGGGGAAACCCUGAUGCAGCGACGCCGCGUG
This 393-nucleotide ribosomal RNA is filed under the name uncultured bacterium. Its description in RNAcentral is "bacterial SSU rRNA". It matches the Rfam family "Bacterial small subunit ribosomal RNA", at positions 28 to 403 of the family's 1533-position model. The record is from RNAcentral.